This 519-nucleotide ribosomal RNA is filed under the name uncultured eukaryote. RNAcentral describes it as "SSU rRNA". It matches the Rfam family "Eukaryotic small subunit ribosomal RNA", at positions 1161 to 1707 of the family's 1831-position model. The record is from RNAcentral.
AGGGCACCACCAGGAGUGGAGCCUGCGGCUUAAUUUGACUCAACACGGGAAAUCUCACCAGGCCCGGACACCGGAAGGAUUGACAGAUUGAGAGCUCUUUCUUGAUUCGGUGGGUGGUGGUGCAUGGCCGUUCUUAGUUGGUGGAGCGAUUUGUCUGGUUAAUUCCGAUAACGAACGAGACUCUGGCCUAUUAACUAGAGGUAAAAUCCUUUUAUGGGUUUUAUGAUGCUUCUUAGAGGGACGGGCGGCUUUUAGCCGCACGAGAAUGAGCAAUAACAGGUAUGUGAUGCCCUUAGGUGUUCUGGGCUGCACGCGCGCUACACUGAAGAAAUCAGCGUGUGCUCCCUAUCCGAAAGGAUUGGGAAUCCGUUGAACCUUCUUCGUGAUGGGGAUGGGGGAUUGCAAUUAUNCCCCAUGAACGAGGAAUCCCCAGUAGGCGCGAGCCAUUAGCUUGCGUCAAUUACUUUCCUGCCCUUUGUACCCCCGCCCGUNGCUCUACGAUCAAGUGAUUAAUGAGAC